RNAcentral lists this ribosomal RNA (478 nucleotides) under Talaromyces rugulosus. RNAcentral's name for it is "partial 26S ribosomal RNA". It matches the Rfam family "Eukaryotic large subunit ribosomal RNA", at positions 147 to 640 of the family's 3401-position model. The record is from RNAcentral. Lineage: Eukaryota; Fungi; Ascomycota; Eurotiomycetes; Eurotiales; Trichocomaceae.
AAUUUGGAGAGGAUGCUUCGGGCGUGGCCCCCNUCUAAGUGCCCUGGAACGGGCCGUCAUAGAGGGUGAGAAUCCCGUCUGGGAUGGGUGGUCCCGCCCGUGUGAAGCUCCUUCNAANAGNCNAGUUGUUUGGGAAUGCAGCUCUAANAGGGUGGUAAAUUUCAUCUAAAGCUAAAUAUUGGNCGGANACCGAUAGCGCACAAGUAGAGUGAUCGAAAGAUGAAAAGCACUUUGAAAAGAGAGUUAAACAGCACGUGAAAUUGUUGAAAGGGAAGCGUUGGNNACCAGACUCGCCCGGGAGGGCUCAGCCGGCACGUGUGCCGGUGCACUCCCCCCCGGGCGGGCCAGCGUCGGUUUGGGCGGUCGGUCAAAGGYCCCGGGAAUGUAGCACCCUCCGGGGUGCCUUAUAGCCCGAGGCGCCAUGCGACCUGCCCGGACCGAGGAACGCGCUUCGGCUCGGACGCUGGCGUAAUGGUUG